Molecule: ribosomal RNA, 743 nt
Filed under: uncultured bacterium
Lineage: Bacteria
Description: bacterial SSU rRNA
Rfam family: Bacterial small subunit ribosomal RNA
Source: RNAcentral
AGCGGCGGAUGGGAGAGUAACACGUGGGGAACCUGCCCCUAAGUCUGGGAUACCAUUUGGAAACAGGUGCUAAUACCGGAUAAUAAAGCAGAUCGCAUGAUCAGCUUUUGAAAGGCGGCGUAAGCUGUCGCUAAGGGAUGGCCCCGCGGUGCAUUAGCUAGUUGGUAAGGUAACGGCUUACCAAGGCGACGAUGCAUAGUCGAGUUGAGAGACUGAUCGGCCACAUUGGGACUGAGACACGGCCCAAACUCCUACGGGAGGCAGCAGUAGGGAAUCUUCCACAAUGGACGCAAGUCUGAUGGAGCAACGCCGCGUGAGUGAAGAAGGUUUUCGGAUCGUAAAGCUCUGUUGUUGGUGAAGAAGGAUAGAGGUAGUAACUGGCCUUUAUUUGACGGUAAUCAACCAGAAAGUCACGGCUAACUACGUGCCAGCAGCCGCGGUAAUACGUAGGUGGCAAGCGUUGUCCGGAUUUAUUGGGCGUAAAGCGAGCGCAGGCGGAAAAAUAAGUCUAAUGUGAAAGCCCUCGGCUUAACCGAGGAACUGCAUCGGAAACUGUUUUUCUUGAGUGCAGAAGAGGAGAGUGGAACUCCAUGUGUAGCGGUGGAAUGCGUAGAUAUAUGGAAGAACACCAGUGGCGAAGGCGGCUCUCUGGUCUGCAACUGACGCUGAGGCUCGAAAGCAUGGGUAGCGAACAGGAUUAGAUACCCUGGUAGUCCAUGCCGUAAACGAUGAGUGCUAAGUGU